Non-coding RNA from Prunus avium (sweet cherry), 605 nucleotides. Lineage: Eukaryota; Viridiplantae; Streptophyta; Magnoliopsida; Rosales; Rosaceae. The record is from RefSeq and is a predicted model, not a curated record.
AAAACCCCCAAGUGGCGCCUUCAGCCCUAUCUCUAUGAAACCUUCAGUUUCCCCCCAAACCCCUACCAUGGCCCUAGCUUCCAGUGUUCGCCUUUCUUCCUCUAUGAAAGAGUUUUUUUUUUUAUGGUGAUUUUAUACUUUGUGAAUGAGUCAGAUCCCUUACCAAAUCAACAAGUCAGCCCUUGUGGAGAAGAUAGCCGAACUUGUGGCAAAUGAUCCUUUAAAAAGUGCUGGAUUGGUUUAGAAGGAAUAAGCGAUAUUAGGGAUGAAAGUGAUCGUUCUGGAAUGCGUGUUGUCAUUGAGCUCAAGCAAGGAUGAGACCCAUCAAUUGUUCUGAAUAAUCUUUGUCGCCUCACAUCUCUUCAAUGCAGCUUUAGUUGUAACAUGGUUGGUGUUCAUAAUGGGCAACCUAAGCAGAUUGGGUCUAAAGGAGUUGCUGCAGGGCAUUGUUGUGGGCCUGGAUAAUUUGGAAGCUAAUUCGUAUACUAAGAGAAUCUUCUAGCAAUGCAAUUGCAUCAUCUGGUCUAAGGAGCUGUGAGCUCCCCUAUGUUUUUGAGUUUUUCAUUUUCUUCAACUUGAGUAGAAGUGGUGGUUCAAAAGCACUG